Molecule: transfer RNA, 74 nt
Filed under: Candidatus Brocadiia bacterium
Lineage: Bacteria; Pseudomonadati; Planctomycetota; Candidatus Brocadiia
Description: Candidatus Brocadiae bacterium tRNA-His
Rfam family: tRNA
About the family: Transfer RNA (tRNA) molecules are approximately 80 nucleotides in length.
Source: RNAcentral
GUGAAUGUAGCUCAGUUGGUUAGAGCACCAGAUUGUGGUUCUGGGGGUCGGGGGUUCGAGUCCCCUCUUUCACC